CUAAAUACUCCUGACUGACCGAUAGUGAACCAGUACCGUGAGGGAAAGGCGAAAAGAACCCCGGCGAGGGGAGUGAAAAAGAACCUGAAACCGUGUACGUACAAGCAGUGGGAGCACGCUUAGGCGUGUGACUGCGUACCUUUUGUAUAAUGGGUCAGCGACUUAUAUUCUGUAGCAAGGUUAACCGAAUAGGGGAGCCGAAGGGAAACCGAGUCUUAACUGGGCGUUAAGUUGCAGGGUAUAGACCCGAAACCCGGUGAUCUAGCCAUGGGCAGGUUGAAGGUUGGGUAACACUAACUGGAGGACCGAACCGACUAAUGUUGAAAAAUUAGCGGAUGACUUGUGGCUGGGGGUGAAAGGCCAAUCAAACCGGGAGAUAGCUGGUUCUCCCCGAAAGCUAUUUAGGUAGCGCCUCGUGAAUUCAUCUCCGGGGGUAGAGCACUGUUUCGGCAAGGGGGUCAUCCCGACUUACCAACCCGAUGCAAACUGCGAAUACCGGAGAAUGUUAUCACGGGAGACACACGGCGGGUGCUAACGUCCGUCGUGAAGAGGGAAACAACCCAGACCGCCAGCUAAGGUCCCAAAGUCAUGGUUAAGUGGGAAACGAUGUGGGAAGGCCCAGACAGCCAGGAUGUUGGCUUAGAAGCAGCCAUCAUUUAAAGAAAGCGUAAUAGCUCACUGGUCGAGUCGGCCUGCGCGGAAGAUGUAACGGGGCUAAACCAUGCACCGAAGCUGCGGCAGCGACGCUGAUGCGUUGUUGGGUAGGGGAGCGUUCUGUAAGCCUGUGAAGGUGUGCUGUGAGGCAUGCUGGAGGUAUCAGAAGUGCGAAUGCUGACAUAAGUAACGAUAAAGCGGGUGAAAAGCCCGCUCGCCGGAAGACCAAGGGUUCCUGUCCAACGUUAAUCGGGGCAGGGUGAGUCGACCCCUAAGGCGAGGCCGAAAGGCGUAGUCGAUGGGAAACAGGUUAAUAUUCCUGUACUUGGUGUUACUGCGAAGGGGGGACGGAGAAGGCUAUGUUGGCCGGGCGACGGUUGUCCCGGUUUAAGCGUGUAGGCUGGUUUUCCAGGCAAAUCCGGAAAAUCAAGGCUGAGGCGUGAUGACGAGGCACUACGGUGCUGAAGCAACAAAUGCCCUGCUUCCAGGAAAAGCCUCUAAGCAUCAGGUAACAUCAAAUCGUACCCCAAACCGACACAGGUGGUCAGGUAGAGAAUACCAAGGCGCUUGAGAGAACUCGGGUGAAGGAACUAGGCAAAAUGGUGCCGUAACUUCGGGAGAAGGCACGCUGAUAUGUAGGUGAAGUCCCUCGCGGAUGGAGCUGAAAUCAGUCGAAGAUACCAGCUGGCUGCAACUGUUUAUUAAAAACACAGCACUGUGCAAACACGAAAGUGGACGUAUACGGUGUGACGCCUGCCCGGUGCCGGAAGGUUAAUUGAUGGGGUCAGCGCAAGCGAAGCUCUUGAUCGAAGCCCCGGUAAACGGCGGCCGUAACUAUAACGGUCCUAAGGUAGCGAAAUUCCUUGUCGGGUAAGUUCCGACCUGCACGAAUGGCGUAAUGAUGGCCAGGCUGUCUCCACCCGAGACUCAGUGAAAUUGAACUCGCUGUGAAGAUGCAGUGUACCCGCGGCAAGACGGAAAGACCCCGUGAACCUUUACUAUAGCUUGACACUGAACAUUGAGCCUUGAUGUGUAGGAUAGGUGGGAGGCUU
RNAcentral lists this ribosomal RNA (1706 nucleotides) under Escherichia coli. RNAcentral's name for it is "partial 23S ribosomal RNA". It matches the Rfam family "Bacterial large subunit ribosomal RNA", at positions 466 to 2157 of the family's 2925-position model. Lineage: Bacteria; Pseudomonadati; Pseudomonadota; Gammaproteobacteria; Enterobacterales; Enterobacteriaceae. The record is from RNAcentral.